AAUUUUAUAUGCCUGUUACAUUUGUGGUAGGAGUUUAGCUAGAUUUUGUUUGAAAACUACAGCUUACUUAUAAAGUACACACAUUAUUUUAAUCGUACAAAAAUGUGUAAAAUAUCUUACUCACCAUGGAACAUGGGCACCCCAAAGUACAUGAGUUUCUUAAGAAGACAUAUGAAAUCUUCAAGGCUAUAAAGAGGACAGGAAAUGACUCACUUCCCAAUGACUCCAGGUAGAUUAAAUACCCCCCCCCCUUUUUUUUUAAGACAGUGUCUCACUCUGUCAUCCAGGCUGGAGUGCAGUGGCACGAUGUUGGCUCAUUGCAACCUCCGUCUCCUGGGUUCAAGCAAUUCUCCUGCCUCAGCCUCCUCAGUAGCUGGGAUUCCUGGUGCAUGCCACCAUGCCUAGCUAAUUUUUGUAUUUUUAGUAGAGACUGGGUUUCACCAUGUUGGCCAGGCUAGUCUCGAACUCCUGGCCUCAAGUGAGGCCAGGCCUCCCAAAGUGCCUGGGAUUACAGGCGUGAGCCACCAUGCCUGGCCUGAACGUCUUAUUAUUUAAAAGUGUGUUGGGGUGGUGGUGGGGCCUUACUCCUAAGACUUAAAAUCAU
RNAcentral lists this long non-coding RNA (604 nucleotides) under Pan troglodytes (chimpanzee). RNAcentral's name for it is "lincRNA". The record is from RNAcentral. Lineage: Eukaryota; Metazoa; Chordata; Mammalia; Primates; Hominidae.